Molecule: ribosomal RNA, 405 nt
Filed under: uncultured bacterium
Lineage: Bacteria
Description: partial 16S ribosomal RNA
Rfam family: Bacterial small subunit ribosomal RNA
Source: RNAcentral
GACGAACGCUGGCGGCGUGCUUAACACAUGCAAGUCGAGCGGUGCGGCGAACGGGUGAGUAACGCGUGAGUAACUGCCCCCCUCUCUGGGAUAACAGUUGGGAACGGCUGCUAAUACCGGAUAGUGGGGGCUGACUCGCGUCCUAUCGGCUUGUUGGUGGGGUAGUGGCCUACCAAGGCGACGACGGGUAGCCGGCCUGAGAGGUCGACCGGCAACAUUGGGCUGAAAUACGUCCCAAACUACUACGGGAGGCAGCAGGGGGGAAUAUGGCACAAGGGGGGAAACCCUGAUGCAGCAACGCCGCGUGCGUGAUGACGGCCUGCGGGUUGUAAGCCGCUUUCAGCCAUGACGCGGUAGUGGCAGAAGAAGCACCGGCUAACUACGUGCCAGCAGCCGCGGUAAUAC